AGUGAACGCUGGCGGUAGGCCUAACACACGCAAGUCGAACGGCAGCACAGUAAGAGCUUGCUCUUACGGGUGGCGAGUGGCGGACGGGUGAGGAAUACAUCGGAAUCUACUUUUUCGUGGGGAAUAACGUAGGGAAACUUACGCUAAUACCGCAUACGACCUACGGGUGAAAGCAGGGGAUCUUCGGACCUUGCGCGAUUGAAUGAGCCGAUGUCGGAUUAGCUAGUUGGCGGGGUAAAGGCCCACCAAGGCGACGAUCCGUAGCUGGUCUGAGAGGAUGAUCAGCCACACUGGAACUGAGACACGGUCCAGACUCCUACGGGAGGCAGCAGUGGGGAAUAUUGGACAAUGGGCGCAAGCCUGAUCCAGCCAUACCGCGUGGGUGAAGAAGGCCUUCGGGUUGUAAAGCCCUUUUGUUGGGAAAGAAAAGCAGCAGGUUAAUACCCCGCUGUUCUGACGGUACCCAAAGAAUAAGCACCGGCUAACUUCGUG
This 492-nucleotide ribosomal RNA is filed under the name uncultured bacterium. Its description in RNAcentral is "partial 16S ribosomal RNA". It matches the Rfam family "Bacterial small subunit ribosomal RNA", at positions 29 to 507 of the family's 1533-position model. The record is from RNAcentral.